UACGUAGGGGGCAAGCGUUGUCCGGAAUCAUUGGGCGUAAAGAGCGUGUAGGCGGCCAGAUAAGUCCGCUGUGAAAUCUCGAGGCUCAACUUCGAGCUGUCGGUGGAAACUGUCUGGCUAGAGUCCGGAAGAGGAGAAUGGAAUUCCUGGUGUAGCGGUGAAAUGCGCAGAUAUCAGGAAGAACACCCGUGGCGAAGGCGGUUCUCUGGGCCUGUACUGACGCUGAGGAGCGAAAGCGUGGGGAGCGAACAGG
This 253-nucleotide ribosomal RNA is filed under the name uncultured bacterium. RNAcentral describes it as "partial 16S ribosomal RNA". It matches the Rfam family "Bacterial small subunit ribosomal RNA", at positions 524 to 776 of the family's 1533-position model. The record is from RNAcentral.